UGCGUAGGUGGCGCUGUAAGUGGGGUGUGAAAUCCCGGGGCUUAACUCCGGAACUGCAUUCCAUACUGCGGUGCUUGAGGACUGGAGAGGAGACUGGAAUUUACGGUGUAGCAGUGAAAUGCGUAGAGAUCGUAAGGAAGACCAGUGGCGAAGGCGGGUCUCUGGACAGUUCCUGACACUGAGGCACGAAGGGCCAGGGGAAGGCAAAACG
Molecule: ribosomal RNA, 211 nt
Filed under: uncultured bacterium
Lineage: Bacteria
Description: partial 16S ribosomal RNA
Rfam family: Bacterial small subunit ribosomal RNA
Source: RNAcentral